Molecule: long non-coding RNA, 306 nt
Organism: Oncorhynchus tshawytscha (Chinook salmon)
Lineage: Eukaryota; Metazoa; Chordata; Actinopteri; Salmoniformes; Salmonidae
Source: Ensembl
GGUGUUUUGUAUUUAGGUAGUGUUGUAUCGGUGGUGUUUUGUAUUUGGGUAGUGUUGUAUCAGUGGUGUUUUGUAUUUAGGUAGUGUUGUAAUCAGUGGUGUUUUGUAUUUAGGUAGUGUUGUAUCAGUGGUGUUUUGUAUUUAGGUAGUGUUGUAUCGGUGGUGUUUUGUAUUUGGGUAGUGUUGUAUCAGUGGUGUUUUGUAUUUAGGUAGUGUUGUAUCAGUGGUGUUUUGUAUUUGGGUAGUGUUUUUGUAGUGGUGUUUUGUAUUGAGGUGGUGUUGUAUCAGUGGUGUUUUGUAUUGAGG